GUCCGCACCGUAAACGAUGAUUACUCGCUGCUUGGGGGCAACCCUGAGUGGCCAAGCGAAAGCGAUAAGUAAUCCACCUGGGGAGUACGCCGGCAACUGUGAAACUCAAAGGAAUUGACGGGGGCCCGCACAAGCGGAGGAGCAUGUGGUUUAAUUCGAUGAUACGCGAGGAACCUUACCAGGGCUUGAAAGUUAGGGAAUGACUCUGAAAGGAGUCAGUCAGCAAUGACCCGAAACUAGGUGCUGCAUGGCUGUCGU
Molecule: ribosomal RNA, 258 nt
Filed under: uncultured bacterium
Lineage: Bacteria
Description: partial 16S ribosomal RNA
Rfam family: Bacterial small subunit ribosomal RNA
Source: RNAcentral